UUCGUAGAUAGGUGCGGGUAAGGGACCGGAGGAUGACUCCUGAAUUUUGUGCCAUAUAUGAAGGUUAGACACAGGAGAGGGCACCUUGCCUAGUCCGUCAAAUUAAGUGCCAGCAGACGCGGUGAAACUUAAGGGCUAGUUUUGUGGGCAAAAGCGUAAAGGGUGUGAUAGGCCGUUUUAAUUAAAAAGGGUUUUAUAAUUUAAGAAGGUAAAUGGAAUUUUUUUGUAGCGGUGGAAUGUGUAAAUAGAAAAAAGAACUUUAGACGUGAAGACUAUUUAUUUUUGAGAUUAUAGUGUGAUGGCUAAAACACGAGAGUAUGGGGAGCAAACAGGAUUAGGGACCCUGGUAGUCUAUACUGUAAAUAAUGAAAAAGAUGUGAAGCAAUCCUAAAAAGUCAGAAAUUUUCCGCUUGAGUAGUACGACCGCAAGGUUAAAAUUCAAAAAACUUGGCUGUUCACUGUUUUAAUUAGAGGAGCGUGUCGUUUAAUUCGAUAGUCCGCGAGAGACCUUACCCAAACUUGAAUCCUUCAUUGACAGGUAUUGCAUGGCCGUCGUCAAUUUGUGUAUUAAACAUAAAACAGAUUUAACCCAGUGGUUUGUCACUUGAUGAAGUCAGGUCUUAUUGUCCUAAUGUUUGGGGAUUAGAUGCGCUACAUUUUUUUAUACAAUAGGAAACUUUGAGUGUGAAACCUGAAAAUAAGAGUUC
This 707-nucleotide ribosomal RNA is filed under the name Acropora robusta. Its description in RNAcentral is "partial small subunit ribosomal RNA". It matches the Rfam family "Bacterial small subunit ribosomal RNA", at positions 422 to 1290 of the family's 1533-position model. Lineage: Eukaryota; Metazoa; Cnidaria; Anthozoa; Scleractinia; Acroporidae. The record is from RNAcentral.